This 2894-nucleotide ribosomal RNA is filed under the name Shigella dysenteriae. Its description in RNAcentral is "bacterial LSU rRNA". It matches the Rfam family "Bacterial large subunit ribosomal RNA". Lineage: Bacteria; Pseudomonadati; Pseudomonadota; Gammaproteobacteria; Enterobacterales; Enterobacteriaceae. The record is from RNAcentral.
UUAAGCGACUAAGCGUACACGGUGGAUGCCCUGGCAGUCAGAGGCGAUGAAGGACGUGCUAAUCUGCGAUAAGCGUCGGUAAGGUGAUAUGAACCGUUAUAACCGGCGAUUUCCGAAUGGGGAAACCCAGUGUGAUUCGUCACACUAUCAUUAACUGAAUCCAUAGGUUAAUGAGGCGAACCGGGGGAACUGAAACAUCUAAGUACCCGAGGAAAAGAAAUCAACCGAGAUUCCCCCAGUAGCGGCGAGCGAACGGGGAGCAGCCCAGAGCCUGAAUCAGUGUGUGUGUUAGUGGAAGCGUCUGGAAAGGCGUGCGAUACAGGGUGACAGCCCCGUACACAAAAAUGCACAUAUUGUGAGCUCGAUGAGUAGGGCGGGACACGUGGUAUCCUGUCUGAAUAUGGGGGACCAUCCUCCAAGGCUAAAUACUCCUGACUGACCGAUAGUGAACCAGUACCGUGAGGGAAAGGCGAAAAGAACCCCGGCGAGGGGAGUGAAAAAGAACCUGAAACCGUGUACGUACAAGCAGUGGGAGCACGCUUAGGCGUGUGACUGCGUACCUUUUGUAUAAUGGGUCAGCGACUUAUAUUCUGUAGCAAGGUUAACCGAAUAGGGGAGCCGAAGGGAAACCGAGUCUUAACUGGGCGUUAAGUUGCAGGGUAUAGACCCGAAACCCGGUGAUCUAGCCAUGGGCAGGUUGAAGGUUGGGUAACACUAACUGGAGGACCGAACCGACUAAUGUUGAAAAAUUAGCGGAUGACUUGUGGCUGGGGUGAAAGGCCAAUCAAACCGGGAGAUAGCUGGUUCUCCCCGAAAGCUAUUUAGGUAGCGCCUCGUGAAUUCAUCUCCGGGGUAGAGCACUGUUUCGGCAAGGGGGUCAUCCCGACUUACCAACCCGAUGCAAACUGCGAAUACCGGAGAAUGUUAUCACGGGAGACACACGGCGGGUGCUAACGUCCGUCGUGAAGAGGGAAACAACCCAGACCGCCAGCUAAGGUCCCAAAGUCAUGGUUAAGUGGGAAACGAUGUGGGAAGGCCCAGACAGCCAGGAUGUUGGCUUAGAAGCAGCCAUCAUUUAAAGAAAGCGUAAUAGCUCACUGGUCGAGUCGGCCUGCGCGGAAGAUGUAACGGGGCUAAACCAUGCACCGAAGCUGCGGCAGCGACACUAUGUGUUGUUGGGUAGGGGAGCGUUCUGUAAGCCUGUGAAGGUGUACUGUGAGGUAUGCUGGAGGUAUCAGAAGUGCGAAUGCUGACAUAAGUAACGAUAAAGCGGGUGAAAAGCCCGCUCGCCGGAAGACCAAGGGUUCCUGUCCAACGUUAAUCGGGCAGGGUGAGUCGACCCCUAAGGCGAGGCCGAAAGGCGUAGUCGAUGGGAAACAGGUUAAUAUUCCUGUACUUGGUGUUACUGCGAAGGGGGACGGAGAAGGCUAUGUUGGCCGGGCGACGGUUGUCCCGGUUUAAGCGUGUAGGCUGGUUUUCCAGGCAAAUCCGGAAAACUAAGGCUGAGGCGUGAUGACGAGGCACUACGGUGCUGAAGCAACAAAUGCCCUGCUUCCAGGAAAAGCCUCUAAGCAUCAGGUAACAUCAAAUCGUACCCCAAACCGACACAGGUGGUCAGGUAGAGAAUACCAAGGCGCUUGAGAGAACUCGGGUGAAGGAACUAGGCAAAAUGGUGCCGUAACUUCGGGAGAAGGCACGCUGAUAUGUAGGUGAAGUCCCUCGCGGAUGGAGCUGAAAUCAGUCGAAGAUACCAGCUGGCUGCAACUGUUUAUUAAAAACACAGCACUGUGCAAACACGAAAGUGGACGUAUACGGUGUGACGCCUGCCCGGUGCCGGAAGGUUAAUUGAUGGGGUCAGCGCAAGCGAAGCUCUUGAUCGAAGCCCCGGUAAACGGCGGCCGUAACUAUAACGGUCCUAAGGUAGCGAAAUUCCUUGUCGGGUAAGUUCCGACCUGCACGAAUGGCGUAAUGAUGGCCAGGCUGUCUCCACCCGAGACUCAGUGAAAUUGAACUCGCUGUGAAGAUGCAGUGUACCCGCGGCAAGACGGAAAGACCCCGUGAACCUUUACUAUAGCUUGACACUGAACAUUGAGCCUUGAUGUGUAGGAUAGGUGGGAGGCUUUGAAGUGUGGACGCCAGUCUGCAUGGAGCCGACCUUGAAAUACCACCCUUUAAUGUUUGAUGUUCUAACGUUGACCCGUAAUCCGGGUUGCGGACAGUGUCUGGUGGGUAGUUUGACUGGGCGGUCUCCUCCUAAAGAGUAACGGAGGAGCACGAAGGUUGGCUAAUCCUGGUCGGACAUCAGGAGGUUAGUGCAAUGGCAUAAGCCAGCUUGACUGCGAGCGUGACGGCGCGAGCAGGUGCGAAAGCAGGUCAUAGUGAUCCGGUGGUUCUGAAUGGAAGGGCCAUCGCUCAACGGAUAAAAGGUACUCCGGGGAUAACAGGCUGAUACCGCCCAAGAGUUCAUAUCGACGGCGGUGUUUGGCACCUCGAUGUCGGCUCAUCACAUCCUGGGGCUGAAGUAGGUCCCAAGGGUAUGGCUGUUCGCCAUUUAAAGUGGUACGCGAGCUGGGUUUAGAACGUCGUGAGACAGUUCGGUCCCUAUCUGCCGUGGGCGCUGGAGAACUGAGGGGGGCUGCUCCUAGUACGAGAGGACCGGAGUGGACGCAUCACUGGUGUUCGGGUUGUCAUGCCAAUGGCACUGCCCGGUAGCUAAAUGCGGAAGAGAUAAGUGCUGAAAGCAUCUAAGCACGAAACUUGCCCCGAGAUGAGUUCUCCCUGACUCCUUGAGAGUCCUGAAGGAACGUUGAAGACGACGACGUUGAUAGGCCGGGUGUGUAAGCGCAGCGAUGCGUUGAGCUAACCGGUACUAAUGAACCGUGAGGCUUAACCUU